GAACCAGGCAGGAUUGGGCUGUAGUCUGAGGGCUGAGAUGAAGCUGGCUGAUGAGAUCUCUCAUGGCCAGGAAUUGGUUCAGAGAACACGUACAGGUCAGUUGGUGAAUUAGGCAACAUUCUGAAGGACGCCAUCCUCGAACUGCUGAAGUUGGAUAGUGUACUGUGAAUGACGUAUCCCUGUCUCAUUUCCACUUUCACAUAUUGCAUUGAAUGAGGCAGUGCUCCUCAUGGGCCUGGGUUCCAAAUGACCCCUGCUUCAUUCCACACAAAUCCUGAAGUAUCAUACCUUGCAUGGGAAGAAAAGGACUACAAGUAAAAGAAGAAUUGCAGAGCUACUUCAUGUAAAUAGGUGA
This is a long non-coding RNA of Mauremys reevesii (Reeves's turtle), 355 nucleotides long. RefSeq lists it as uncharacterized. Lineage: Eukaryota; Metazoa; Chordata; Testudines; Geoemydidae. The transcript has 3 exons. The record is from RefSeq and is a predicted model, not a curated record.